GCCAGACCCACCACACUUAGCCAAAGCGACAGCAGCUGCCGAAAGACAAAGCAAGGAUCCAGCAUUAAUCCUAUCAUGAGAGCUUCACUCUUAUAAUCUAAUUACCUCCCAAAGCUCCACCUUCUAAUACCGUCACACUGGGAAUUAGAAUUUCAACAUACGAAUUUGAAGGUGUAGGGGGAAGAAACCUCCAAUCCAUAAGAGAAGAGAAAGGAGGAGAAGGAAAACAAAAAAAAGGAAGAUGGAGUUUCACUCUGGUUGUCCAAGCUAGAGUGAAAUAGCCUGAUCUUGGCUCACUGCUACCUCUGCCUCCCGGGUUCAAGCGAUUCUCCUGCCUCAUCCUUCUGAGAAGCUGUAACUACAGGUAUGUGCCUCCACGCUUGGCUAAUUUUUUGUAUUUUUAGUAGAGACUGGGUUUUUACCAUGUUGGCUAGGCUGGUCUCGAACUCCUGACCUAAGGUGAUUAGCUGGACUCAGCCUCCCAAAGUGCUGGGAAUACAGGCGAGAGCCACCGUGCCCAGCUGUUUUUGCCAUUUUGAUAGAUGUAUAGUGGUGUCUCAUGGUCGAAAUACACAUUUCCUAAUGACCAGUGAAAUUGAACAU
This is a long non-coding RNA of Callithrix jacchus (white-tufted-ear marmoset), 603 nucleotides long. RefSeq lists it as uncharacterized. The record is from RefSeq and is a predicted model, not a curated record. Lineage: Eukaryota; Metazoa; Chordata; Mammalia; Primates; Cebidae.